AACGAACGCUGGCGGCAGGCUUAACACAUGCAAGUCGAACGCUCUCUUCGGAGAGAGUGGCAGACGGGUGAGUAACGCGUGGGAAUCUACCCAACCCUACGGAAUAACUCAGGGAAACUUGAGCUAAUACCGUAUACGCCCUUCGGGGGAAAGAUUUAUCGGGGUUGGAUGAGCCCGCGUUGGAUUAGCUAGUUGGUGAGGUAAAAGCUCACAAAGGCGACGAUCCAUAGCUGGUCUGAGAGGAUGAUCAGCCACACUGGGACUGAGACACGGCCCAG
Molecule: ribosomal RNA, 278 nt
Filed under: uncultured bacterium
Lineage: Bacteria
Description: partial 16S ribosomal RNA
Rfam family: Bacterial small subunit ribosomal RNA
Source: RNAcentral